Cercocebus atys (sooty mangabey) is the source of this 2305-nucleotide long non-coding RNA. RefSeq lists it as uncharacterized. The record is from RefSeq and is a predicted model, not a curated record. The transcript has 4 exons. Lineage: Eukaryota; Metazoa; Chordata; Mammalia; Primates; Cercopithecidae.
UACUGCUUCUGGCUCUGCCGAGAGGUGAAGUCAUUCUCAUUUCUUUGUGUUCGGAAGUAUCGCCUGCGGCUCGUUGAAAACUUAGCGCUAGACCUGCCUCUCGGAGACUUGCUCCCUCUGGAAAUGCCCAGCUGAGGAUGCGCGUGGCGCGUGUUGAAGCGCAGUGCCUGGGAGUUGGACACUUGUGGACAGAUGUAACCUUUUCCUGUGUUUCCUGACUGGGACACCAGCCGGGUAUUCUAGCUAACUUUGUAUAAGGUCCUGUGUUGACUACUGAGAAUGAAGCACUGAAGAAGACAGAAAGUCCCACCUUGAAGAGCUUCCAAGUGUAGUGAGUCUCCUGGCAUCAGGUAUGGCUGGUACCGUGGAAACGCUUGACUGACUGUGCAGGAGACGCUGGGUAGGAGGCAGAAGGCGAUGGCAGAAAUCGAGUUCAGGUGCAGGGGGCACUCCUGAGAGCAUUCCUGCUCUGUCCCCGUGGCCUGAGUGGCCUUGUCAGUUGCACAGACAUGCCUUCAUUUCAUAGGCUCAACACCUCUGCUUAACAUCAUAAUUAGAUUCAAGACCAAUUCAGUCAAGACGUCGUCACAGGUCACGUGGUCUUAUUAUCACAGCUGGGGCUUCAAGCCCACGUCAGCUUUUCCAGAACAGCAAGUGUGUUCACUCCGGCCGUGCCGUCCGGGCAAUGUCAUCAAGCCCACGUCAGCUUUUCCAGAACAGCAAGUGUAUUCAUUUCAGCCGUGCCGUCCGGGCAAUGUCAAACACGCCUCACAUUCUUGCCCAAGAAGCUGGUCUCUUAGGUUUCCUUGUUUUCUAUUAUUUCAGGGCCUGUGGGUGUGUCAAAUGUCUCCCAGAUUUUUUACCCUUUAAUUUGUUCAUAUUUACCUUAGAGGUCAGUUCCAACUGGAUCUGAUCCUAAUAUCUAAAAAUAGGACAUGAAGGGGUCAGAAUUACGGGCACAUGGAGGGAAAAUUGGAGAGGUUAGCACAAUCAGCUAGGUUUACCUGCUCAGAGGUAAAAGCAGAUUGUAUUUGCCAUUACUACUCAUAAAACUCUACCUUAGACAAUGAAGAAAGCAUCUCUUUAAAGUGCUUAUGUCUCUGAGGCUAAUAAAUAUAUUGGUCAGGGUGGCCAUUGAAAACCAGUUCAUCCUAGCAAAAAGAUUUUUACUUAUUAGUAGUCAAAGAGAAGGAAAAUCAGGUCCAUUAUUUCAACAUAAAUAAUGGGGAAUUACAAACAGUCUGGAGACCCUUAUGUGGACUUAGAAAUCUUAGCGUUGCAAAUAUUGGCUCAAAAUGAUGUUUUGCUAAAGUAUUAUGUCCCACUUUUUGAGGCUCAGCAUUCUAAAAUAAUCCUAUCAUGGGAGAAUUCCUAGGAGAGAAACUUAAGUCAUUAUAGGCACAGUGGAGGGCUGAGAACCCAAGGUCUUCUGUGAAGCAAUGAGUAUUUUUUGGUUGUUUAUGAAAACCAAUAAAAUAGCAUAGUGGUUAGAUUACAGAAUCAUUUCACAGGUCUUACAUUAGUGAAUACAGGAGGGUUGAUUUUCAUUUAUUACCCAAUAAUCACUAGAAAAUUUUCAGGAUCUUCUUCCACAGUUUAAAAAAUAUGACUGGAAUUAAUUUUGCUUUGAUACAGGCUUUAUGUGAACCAUAUCAAAUUUUAUUCUCUUUAAUUAGAUAUUGAAAUCUGUAUUGCCAUAGUGAUUUCACUGCUCUGCAGUGACGACUCCUCUCCUCUCUACUCGUCUGAUACCAUCUCCGGGUCAGAGAAACAGAGUAACAUGAACUCUGGAGGUGACUGAUGCUGGUCCAGCUGAAUAGCUGUUUUUCAGCUCCCUCCUCCGAUGGGGCCAGGUUGCUUCGGUUCCACCAUGGUGGCGGCAGGCUCUCCUGCCCAAGACACUGGAGUGCCGCGUGAAGGAGUGGGGACAACGUGCUUCUGUGUUUUCUCCCACUUUCAAUGUUCUGCUGCAAACACCUUCACUCUGACUCAUCCCCAUCCAUUCAAUGUCACUUGUCUUUUUUCUUCUCCAUCCAUUCAAUGUCACCUGCCCUUUUUCUUCUCCAUCCAUUCAAUGUCACCUGCCCUUUUUCUUCUCCAUCCAUUCAGUGUCACCUGCCCUUUUUCUUCUCCAUCCAUUCAGUGUCACUUGCCUUUUUUCUUCUCCACUUCCAUCUGGUUUCCUGGUUUUGCAAUGAUCUCAAUCAGUGACAAAAAUUGUGUCUAUGCUGAAAAUUAUAUUCCUGUGGUUGCAUAAAUUGUUUAUAAAAGCUGAGUCAUGUUUACUCGAGAUCUGUGGAAGAGA